AGCGGCGAAUGGGUGAGUAACACGUGGGGAACCUGCCCCUAAGUCUGGGAUACCAUUUGGAAACAGGUGCUAAUACCGGAUAAUAAAGCAGAUCGCAUGAUCAGCUUUUGAAAGGCGGCGUAAGCUGUCGCUAAGGGAUGGCCCCGCGGUGCAUUAGCUAGUUGGUAAGGUAACGGCUUACCAAGGCGACGAUGCAUAGCCGAGUUGAGAGACUGAUCGGCCACAUUGGGACUGAGACACGGCCCAAACUCCUACGGGAGGCAGCAGUAGGGAAUCUUCCACAAUGGACGCAAGUCUGAUGGAGCAACGCCGCGUGAGUGAAGAAGGUUUUCGGAUCGUAAAGCUCUGUUGUUGGUGAAGAAGGAUAGAGGUAGUAACUGGCCUUUAUUUGACGGUAAUCAACCAGAAAGUCACGGCUAACUACGUGCCAGCAGCCGCGGUAAUACGUAGGUGGCAAGCGUUGUCCGGAUUUAUUGGGCGUAAGCGAGCGCAGGCGGAAAAAUAAGUCUAAUGUGAAGGCCCUCGGCUUAACCGAGGAACUGCAUCGGAAACUGUUUUUCUUGAGUGCAGAAGAGGAGAGUGGAACUCCAUGUGUAGCGGUGGAAUGCGUAGAUAUAUGGAAGAACACCAGUGGCGAAAGGCGGCUCUCUGGUCUGCAACUGACGCUGAGGCUCGAAAGCAUGGGUAGCGAACAGGAUUAGAUACCCUGGUAGUCCAUGCCGUAAACGAUGAGUGCUAAGUGU
Molecule: ribosomal RNA, 743 nt
Filed under: uncultured bacterium
Lineage: Bacteria
Description: bacterial SSU rRNA
Rfam family: Bacterial small subunit ribosomal RNA
Source: RNAcentral